GAUGAACGCUGGCGGCGUGCCUAAUACAUGCAAGUCGAGCGAACGGACGAGAAGCUUGCUUCUCUGAUGUUAGCGGCGGACGGGUGAGUAACACGUGGAUAACCUACUUAUAAGACUGGGAUAACUUCGUGAAACCGGAGCUAAUACCGGAUGAUAUUUUGAACCGCAUGGUUCAAGAGUGAAAGACGGUCUUGCUGUCACUUAUAGAUGGAUCCGCGCUGCAUUAGCUAGUUGGUAAGGUAACGGCUUACCAAGGCAACGAUGCAUAGCCGACCUGAGAGGGUGAUCGGCCACACUGGAACUGAGACACGGUCCAGACUCCUACGGGAGGCAGCAGUAGGGAAUCUUCCGCAAUGGGCGAAAGCCUGACGGAGCAACGCCGCGUGAGUGAUGAAGGUCUUCGGAUCGUAAAACUCUGUUAUUAGGGAAGAACAUAUGUGUAAGUAACUGUGCACAUCUUGACGGUACCUAAUCAGAAAGCCACGGCUAACUACGUG
This 497-nucleotide ribosomal RNA is filed under the name uncultured bacterium. RNAcentral describes it as "partial 16S ribosomal RNA". It matches the Rfam family "Bacterial small subunit ribosomal RNA", at positions 28 to 507 of the family's 1533-position model. The record is from RNAcentral.